GAGCGGUAGAGAGAAGCUUGCUUCUCUUGAGAGCGGCGGACGGGUGAGUAAUGCCUAGGUAUCUGCCUGGUAGUGGGGGAUAACGUUCGGAAACGGACGCUAAUACCGCAUACGUCCUACGGGAGAAAGCAGGGGACCUUCGGGCCUUGCGCUAUCAGAUGAGCCUAGGUCGGAUUAGCUAGUUGGUGGGGUAAUGGCUCACCAAGGCGACGAUCCGUAACUGGUCUGAGAGGAUGAUCAGUCACACUGGAACUGAGACACGGUCCAGACUCCUACGGGAGGCAGCAGUGGGGAAUAUUGGACAAUGGGCGAAAGCCUGAUCCAGCCAUGCCGCGUGUGUGAAGAAGGUCUUCGGAUUGUAAAGCACUUUAAGUUGGGAGGAAGGGCAGUUACCUAAUACGUGAUUGUUUUGACGUUACCGACAGAAUAAGCACCGGCUAACUCUGUGCCAGCAGCCGCGGUAAUACAGAGGGUGCAAGCGUUAAUCGGAAUUACUGGGCGUAAAGCGCGCGUAGGUGGUUUGUUAAGUUGGAUGUGAAAUCCCCGGGCUCAACCUGGGAACUGCAUUCAAAACUGACUGACUAGAGUAUGGUAGAGGGUGGUGGAAUUUCCUGUGUAGCGGUGAAAUGCGUAGAUAUAGGAAGGAACACCAGUGGCGAAGGCGACCACCUGGACUAAUACUGACACUGAGGUGCGAAAGCGUGGGGAGCAAACAGGAUUAGAUACCCUGGUAGUCCACGCCGUAAACGAUGUCAACUAGCCGUUGGAAGCCUUGAGCUUUUAGUGGCGCAGCUAACGCAUUAAGUUGACCGCCUGGGGAGUACGGCCGCAAGGUUAAAACUCAAAUGAAUUGACGGGGGCCCGCACAAGCGGUGGAGCAUGUGGUUUAAUUCGAUGCAACGCGAAGAACCUUACCUACUCUUGACAUCCAGAGAAUUCGCUAGAGAUAGCUUAGUGCCUUCGGGAACUCUGAGACAGGUGCUGCAUGGCUGUCGUCAGCUCGUGUUGUGAAAUGUU
This 1017-nucleotide ribosomal RNA is filed under the name uncultured bacterium. RNAcentral's name for it is "bacterial SSU rRNA". It matches the Rfam family "Bacterial small subunit ribosomal RNA", at positions 64 to 1076 of the family's 1533-position model. The record is from RNAcentral.